GGAGCUUGCUCCACCGGAAAAAGAAGAGUGGCGAACGGGUGAGUAACACGUGGGUAACCUGCCCAUCAGAAGGGGAUAACACUUGGAAACAGGUGCUAAUACCGUAUAACAAUCAAAACCGCAUGGUUUUGAUUUGAAAGGCGCUUUCGGGUGUCGCUGAUGGAUGGACCCGCGGUGCAUUAGCUAGUUGGUGAGGUAACGGCUCACCAAGGCCACGAUGCAUAGCCGACCUGAGAGGGUGAUCGGCCACAUUGGGACUGAGACACGGCCCAAACUCCUACGGGAGGCAGCAGUAGGGAAUCUUCGGCAAUGGACGAAAGUCUGACCGAGCAACGCCGCGUGAGUGAAGAAGGUUUUCGGAUCGUAAAACUCUGUUGUUAGAGAAGAACAAGGAUGAGAGUAACUGUUCAUCCCUUGACGGUAUCUAACCAGAAAGCCACGGCUAACUACGUGCCAGCAGCCGCGGUAAUACGUAGGUGGCAAGCGUUGUCCGGAUUUAUUGGGCGUAAAGCGAGCGCAGGCGGUUUCUUAAGUCUGAUGUGAAAGCCCCCGGCUCAACCGGGGAGGGUCAUUGGAAACUGGGAGACUUGAGUGCAGAAGAGGAGAGUGGAAUUCCAUGUGUAGCGGUGAAAUGCGUAGAUAUAUGGAGGAACACCAGUGGCGAAGGCGGCUCUCUGGUCUGUAACUGACGCUGAGGCUCGAAAGCGUGGGGAGCAAACAGGAUUAGAUACCCUGGUAGUCCACGCCGUAAACGAUGAGUGCUAAGUGUUGGAGGGUUUCCGCCCUUCAGUGCUGCAGCUAACGCAUUAAGCACUCCGCCUGGGGAGUACGACCGCAAGGUUGAAACUCAAAGGAAUUGACGGGGGCCCGCCCAAGCGGUGGAGCAUGUGGUUUAAUUGGAAGCAACGCGAAGACCCUUACCAGGUCUUGACAUCCUUUGACCACUCUAGAGAUAGAGCUUCCCCUUCGGGGGCAAAGUGCCAGGUGGUGCAUGGUUGUCGUCAGCUCGUGUCGUGAGAUGUUGGGUUAAGUCCCGCAACGAGCGCAACCCUUAUUGUUAGUUGCCAUCAUUCAGUUG
This 1078-nucleotide ribosomal RNA is filed under the name Enterococcus faecium. RNAcentral describes it as "bacterial SSU rRNA". It matches the Rfam family "Bacterial small subunit ribosomal RNA", at positions 75 to 1133 of the family's 1533-position model. The record is from RNAcentral. Lineage: Bacteria; Bacillati; Bacillota; Bacilli; Lactobacillales; Enterococcaceae.